RNAcentral lists this ribosomal RNA (447 nucleotides) under uncultured bacterium. Its description in RNAcentral is "bacterial SSU rRNA". It matches the Rfam family "Bacterial small subunit ribosomal RNA", at positions 330 to 792 of the family's 1533-position model. The record is from RNAcentral.
ACCAGACUCCUACGGGAGGCAGCAGUGGGGGAUAUUGCACAAUGGGGGGAACCCUGAUGCAGCGACGCCGCGUGGGUGAAGAAGCGCCUCGGCGCGUAAAGCCCUGUCAGCAGGGAAGAAAAUGACGGUACCUGAAGAAGAAGCCCCGGCUAACUACGUGCCAGCAGCCGCGGUAAUACGUAGGGGGCAAGCGUUAUCCGGAUUUACUGGGUGUAAAGGGGGCGCAGACGGCGAUGCAAGCCAGGAGUGAAAGCCCGGGGCCCAACCCCGGGACUGCUCUUGGAACUGCGUGGCUGGAGUGCAGGAGGGGCAGGCGGAAUUCCUGGUGUAGCGGUGAAAUGCGUAGAUAUCAGGAGGAACACCGGUGGCGAAGGCGGCCUGCUGGACUGCAACUGACGUUGAGGCCCGAAAGCGUGGGGAGCAAACAGGAUUAGAUACCCAGUAGAA